GGGCGGUUAGCUCAGCUGGCCAGAGCGCGUGAUUGACGUUCACGAGGUCAGAGGUUCAAGUCCUCUACCGCCCACCA
RNAcentral lists this transfer RNA (77 nucleotides) under Bacillota bacterium. RNAcentral's name for it is "tRNA-Val". It matches the Rfam family "tRNA". From Rfam's summary of the family: Transfer RNA (tRNA) molecules are approximately 80 nucleotides in length. Their secondary structure includes four short double-helical elements and three loops (D, anti-codon, and T loops). Further hydrogen bonds mediate the characteristic L-shaped molecular structure. tRNAs have two regions of fundamental functional importance: the anti-codon, which is responsible for specific mRNA codon recognition, and the 3' end, to which the tRNAs corresponding amino acid is attached (by aminoacyl-tRNA synthetases). tRNAs cope with the degeneracy of the genetic code in two manners: having more than one tRNA (with a specific anti-codon) for a particular amino acid; and 'wobble' base-pairing, i.e. permitting non-standard base-pairing at the 3rd anti-codon position. RNAcentral also lists the same sequence under 1 other name. Lineage: Bacteria; Bacillati; Bacillota. The record is from RNAcentral.